RNAcentral lists this ribosomal RNA (355 nucleotides) under Staphylococcus kloosii. RNAcentral describes it as "bacterial SSU rRNA". It matches the Rfam family "Bacterial small subunit ribosomal RNA", at positions 1 to 345 of the family's 1533-position model. The record is from RNAcentral. Lineage: Bacteria; Bacillati; Bacillota; Bacilli; Caryophanales; Staphylococcaceae.
UUUAUGGAGAGUUUGAUCCUGGCUCAGUAUGAACGCUGGCGGCGUGCCUAAUACAUGCAAGUCGAGCGAACAGAUAAGGAGCUUGCUCCUUUGACGUUAGCGGCGGACGGGUGAGUAACACGUGUGUAACCUACCUAUAAGACUGGGAUAACUUCGGGAAACCGGAGCUAAUACCGGAUAACAUUUGGAACCGCAUGGUUCUAAAGUGAAAGAUGGUUUUGCUAUCACUUAUAGAUGGACCCGCGCCGUAUUAGCUAGUUGGUAAGGUAACGGCUUACCAAGGCAACGAUACGUAGCCGACCUGAGAGGGUGAUCGGCCACACUGGAACUGAGACACGGUCCAGACUCCUACGGG